Struthio camelus australis is the source of this 3430-nucleotide non-coding RNA. Lineage: Eukaryota; Metazoa; Chordata; Aves; Struthioniformes; Struthionidae. The record is from RefSeq and is a predicted model, not a curated record.
GCACACAGGAGUUAGCGAAUGAAGGUGCAGCUAUUUUUCCUUCGUGUAUCUGGCAGAGUCACUAAAGCGGGUUCAGGGGGUGGCUCGUUUUCCUUCUGAAGGAACGAGACAGAUUCAGUCCGGAAAGACAAGCGUUUCCUUGGGCGUGAGCAGCUCGGCUUCCUAAUUCAAUAAUUGCACGUAUUAUAUUUGAUAACCUAUUGUGUACGCAAUAUGCCAUUUUAACAGCCCUGGAGUCUCAAGUUCUGUUCGGCCACAAAACAGAGAGCAUAGAUGACAGCGGGUCAGAUUUACACAUGCUGCUCACCUUAUGUUCCUUAAUUGUGUUCUGCAGAGACCACGUCUAAGGAUAGAGGUAGUUUCAUUUUCAUGCCCGUUUAAUCUCUGGCUUCUCUGCUGGGACUACCACCAACUUAGCUGGGAUAGUGCUUUAUUAUGAUAAUGUGUGUUUACUGAGAAAUGGACAAAAUGCUAAAAAAAGCCAUUUUGCAUGAGCCACAAAACAGCAAUGGAAAGCAGUAUGUCAGGAUCAUUAAUCGCUUCAUUCAGUUCCUUGCGGGGCUUUGGAUGAAGAUAGUUUAAUCAUUAGCAACAAGAUGUACUGUGGAUCACAUGCAUAUAAGCCAUUUUCUUCAGAUGAGUCUCUUUCAUACUAAGGCCAAGCACGAGAACUUCAGCCCCUAAAGUAAAAAGCACUGACAAAAGGAUCUAAAAUUUCUCGGUAUACUGCACUACACCGAAGCUUUAAUAAAGUUACUAAUAUUUUAUCUCAUGUGAACAAUUGAUCAUUCCUGUCAAAUUUCCAAUAAAGUAUCCUUAUCAUAAUUAAUAUGAAUGCCUGUCUGUAACUGAUGUCCUCCUCCUUUUCAUGAACUCUUCAAGGCACCUGCCUUACGCAUGAGAUUACCAUAACCUUUUUUAACGUGAAAUUGUUCUUUGGCAAUGUUUAUUUCACAUUGCCCAAUGCAUUUAUUGAUGCAGCUGGAUAAUAGAUGGGUGUGGGAAAUUUAUAGCAACUGUUGUUCCCAUGGAGGAUCUACUGUAGUUGCGAUGUUAGUUUCAAUGUAAGAUUUUGUUUCACUUACAGUUUUAGCCAUCAAAAAUAAAAGCCUAGCCAAAGAUUACUGAAACUAUAGAUAGCUAGACCACAGCUCCUGAAGACAUUUUACAUAGACAAGAUACAACUAUCUAUAUAAAUUAAGAAAUACCGAGAAUUAUCCCAGGGAUUUAAAAGUGCUAUAAAUAUCAAGACAGUAUUUAGAUUACAGCUACAACAGAGUCCCCAGCAACAUUAAUUCCCAGAGUUGGUAUCCCAGUUACCAUAUAAUUACAGAUUAAGUGCACAAAGUACAAAAUAUAAAGUUACAUAAUGAGACACUUUCAAGUGAGACUAUGCAGGUGAUCCUAGUGAAAGUUUAAACAAAUUCUUCAUACAUGGUUUCACAUUAGACACCAAGCCUAAACGUCUCUCAUUCAAAUUUCUAUUUUUAUAUUUGAAAAUUGACAUUAGUAAAUAUUGCAACAGCACACAGCUAAACUGAAAGAACAGUUGCUGAAAGAGCCACAUCUAUAUUUAUCCCUUUCAAGACUUCAAAUGGUCUGAACAACGUAUAUGUUGUUGUUUGGAGUAACAAUGUUUUAUUGCUGCUUUUUCCUGUCCUUACCACUAUUGUUAGUUAUAUUCAUGGGUUGCAGCUUUUCUAAGAGUUAGAUUGAAAAGCCUUCAGCGUCAGCAGUUUUUCUCAUUAGAUGUUUAGGUAAUGACUUGAACAAUGGAUUUUAACUUGAAUUGAAUUGGGGCUUCUGGGCAUCAUUGCAAUAUAAGUAUUAAAUUAUAAUUAGUAAAAAUAAUAACUGCCUGAAAGACAUAAAGGGACAAUAGGCAAUCAUUUCUGUAACAAGUAAACAUUGGAGUUUUGUUAUUUAUUUUGGAUAUUCCAUAACUUAAAUAUGCCCAUAUGCCAAAAGUCUUACUGUAACAUUUUCUGAAUUGAUCUGAUUCACAACUGUAUGACACCACUUUCAUGCUGAUGAGUCUGAGUUACAUCAGCACAAAACUGGUAUGGUUUAGGCCUAGAAGUAUAUUGUCAGGCCUAGAAGUAUUAGGAUUUAAGCCUAGAAGUACAUUGUUACAACUUCCUAAGUGAAGUGUGUAGGUUCCUAUCCACUGCAUGUGAACAGAUACUAAGUAAACAGUUCGUACUCAGUUUAACUUUGUGACAGUCCCAAAUUUACGCUGCUUAAAUAUUACAUUACACCAUACAAAGAGGUUUUCUCUAUAUUUGGUUGCAGUAUAUUUCAAAUAGUAAUCAAAUAUAGUGAUGAACAUAAAUGUAUUGUGUGACUAAGAUUUGGAGUAUUAUGCAAGUUCCAAUAAAAAGCUUUGUAACACCACAACCUAUUUUGUAUAUGCUCUGUUCCAGAAAUGGUUAGGAAUGUUUUAGAGUUAUUUUUAAACAUUUUAUUGUGACUUUUUGUUUGUAUUUCUCUUCCUUAGUUACCAUGGGUGAGCUCCUGAAUUCUGACCGAGGAACACUCGGCACAGCAUUCCUCAUGGAGGAGAAAAGGCCCAAAGGUGAUGUUAAGGCACCUUUGCUGUUCCCUGAUUCGGACUGCUUUGCUCCUGGACAGUCACCUUAACACUGACUUUAAGCUGUGAUGCAGUCUCUUAGCCUAAGAGUCUGUUCUGACAGCUGAUGCUGGCACAUAAAUCUUGCAGUGGUCAAAACAGAUGGAAAGGAACCAAAACUAGAGCCAUGCCGUGUGAGGUCACUGGCAUUUGUGAAUUGUAACCAUCAAUCCCUUGCUCACGAGAGCCUGCAGAGUUGCUUCUGGCCACCCUGAAGACAGAGUUAAAUGUGAAGUUGGCAGACAGAGCAAAAUAUGGAGUUGCCCAAAAUACACUAUUUGCUCAGUAUUUUGCCUGUGCCCCAGUGAUGAUUUUGAACAAUUGCCUUUGGUAAGCUUCUCGGAUCCAAAAAGGGUAACAUCUAAUGUUGCUGAGGCUUUUUGUGUCCAAAAAAGCAAUCCUGAAAGAGGACCGUACCAACUUCUAAUCAAACCUGAAAUAACUUUUCUAUAGCAAAUCAAUUACAUUAGCUCUAGAGUAGCUGUACACUAGUUACAUUGCUCUUCAAAGGCCGGUAAUUAGUACUGCAUCCUCCUGUAGGAAAACUAUCACUCCUCCCUCUCCAGUGGUAGGAAAGAAGAAUUUAUGUGGCAAGUUUAUUUAAAAUUAAUGGUGGUGGAUUUUUUAAGCUGAUGAAAACCCAUAAGAAUCCCUUCUGAAGUAAUGAAUUGGUGAAUAAGUGAUGUGAAAAUAGACACUGUAAAUGUAUCACAAUUACCAUUCCAGAAAUAUUCUAUAUAGGCACAUUUAUGCUAAUGAUACCCAUCACGCUAACCAUUGAAUGAAUCCAUAUUUCUGUAA